GCAAGUCGAACGAAGUAGCAAUACUUAGUGGCAGACGGGUGAGUAACAUGUAGGUAUCUGCCCUUUGGCCUGGAAUAACACGAGGAAACUUGUGCUAAUACCGGAUAAGUCUUUACGGAGAAAGCUUUAUGCACCAUUGGAUGAGCCUGCACUUGAUUAGUUUGUUGGUAGGGUAAUGGCCUACCAAGACUGUGAUCAAUAGCUGAUUUGAGAGGAUGAUCAGCCACAUUGGGACUGAGACACGGCCCAAACUCCUACGGGAGGCAGCAGUGGGGAAUCUUGCACAAUGGAGGAAACUCUGAUGCAGCGAUGCCGCGUGAGUGAAGAAGGCCCUUGGGUUGUAAAGCUCUUUCGUCGGGGAAGAAAAUGACCGUACCCGAAUAAGAAGGUCCGGCUAACUUCGUGCCAGCAGCCGCGGUAAUACGAAGGGACCUAGCGUAGUUCGGAAUUACUGGGCUUAAAGAGUUCGUAGGUGGUUGAAAAAGUUGGUGGUGAAAUCCCAGAGCUUAACUCUGGAACUGCCAUCAAAACUUUUCAGCUAGAGUUUGAUAGAGGAAAGCAGAAUUUCUAGUGUAGAGGUGAAAUUCGUAGAUAUUAGAAAGAAUACCAAUUGCGAAGGCAGCUUUCUGGAUCAUUACUGACACUGAGGAACGAAAGCAUGGGUAGCGAAGAGGAUUAGAUACCCUCGUAGUCCAUGCCGUAAACGAUGUGUGUUAGACGUUGGAAAUUUAUUUUCAGUGUCGCAGCGAAAGCGAUAAACACACCGCCUGGGGAGUACGACCGCAAGGUUAAAACUUCAAUGAAUUGACGGG
RNAcentral lists this ribosomal RNA (812 nucleotides) under uncultured marine bacterium. RNAcentral's name for it is "bacterial SSU rRNA". It matches the Rfam family "Bacterial small subunit ribosomal RNA", at positions 57 to 917 of the family's 1533-position model. The record is from RNAcentral.